UACGUAGGGGGCAAGCGUUAUCCGGAUUUACUGGGUGUAAAGGGAGCGUAGACGGCGAAGAAUGUCUGAAGUGAAAGCCCGCGGCUCAACCGCGGAACUGCUUUGGAAACUUUUUUGCUGGAGUACCGGAGAGGUAAGCGGAAUUCCUAGUGUAGCGGUGAAAUGCGUAGAUAUUAGGAGGAACGCCAGUGGCGAAGGCGGCUUACUGGACGGUAACUGACGUUGAGGCUCGAAAGCGUGGGGAGCAAACAGG
This 253-nucleotide ribosomal RNA is filed under the name uncultured bacterium. Its description in RNAcentral is "partial 16S ribosomal RNA". It matches the Rfam family "Bacterial small subunit ribosomal RNA", at positions 524 to 776 of the family's 1533-position model. The record is from RNAcentral.